This 632-nucleotide long non-coding RNA is filed under the name Rhinopithecus bieti (black snub-nosed monkey). Its description in RNAcentral is "lncRNA (ENSRBIG00000046447.1)". The record is from RNAcentral. Lineage: Eukaryota; Metazoa; Chordata; Mammalia; Primates; Cercopithecidae.
CCUGGGGCAAAAAAAGUCCCUGUAAUUGAACACUUUCAUUUUUGCUUGUCCCCAGGCUUGUCGUUAGAAAACUAAGGGACUUUACUUUUGAGUAUCAUGUUUACAAAAGCAAAGUGGUUUUUAAAUUUUAAACUAAGUAAGUAUCAAACAAGUAGAUAAGGCGGAUAGGAGGGAUCUGCAGGAACUGAAGGGAGGUGGAACUUAAGGUUGGAACAUCGGUGUGCUUUUAACAACGGACCGAGCUACUUCCGGGAGAGAAUGGGAGGGUGGAAAAUUCUGUGCGUUUGGCGGGUUUCGCUCUCUUACUAAGUAUUGAUCAUUCCGCAGCAGUGGGGGCUGGACACGUGAGGAGGUAGUGACGCCGCCACUGCCGGAACACGCUGCUGCAGGCUCCCCGAUGGCCAUGUCUGUGGAUUUUAAAACUUAUGUAGAUCAGGCAUGUAGAGCUGCUGAGGAGUUUGUCAAUAUUUACUAUGAGACAAUGGAUAAAAGAAGACGGGUGAGUGUUAUAGACUCUACUACUCUUUUUAGACUACUACUCUUUAUUAAAUACCAGGUCGUGUCUGGAGCCAGCGUUUCAUCUGCCUUGCAUAAGUGGUAACUGUGGACUUACCCUUUAAAAGCAAAUUGCU